Lycium barbarum (goji berry) is the source of this 101-nucleotide small nuclear RNA. NCBI's taxonomy places the organism in Eukaryota, Viridiplantae, Streptophyta, Magnoliopsida, Solanales, Solanaceae. The record is from RefSeq and is a predicted model, not a curated record.
GGGCCUUUCGGGAAUAUUCGAUAAAACUGGAACAAUACGGAAAAAAUUAGCUUGCCUCUGUGAGGAUGACACACACAAAUCGAGAGGAAAGUUAGCUUUAU